UUUCUCUGUAAAGAGGUUUUUAUUUAAAUAGUAAAUUGAGGAUAUAAUAAUCAUUCAAGUGGCCCCAAAGUAGGUCAUACAUAAACAAAAGACUUACAUAAAAUGUUGUCUUUCCCCCUAACCUGCAGCCUUACUCCCUGAAAGUAACCACUAAUAAAGUUUCCUUGUGCAAAACCAUUCUAGUUGACAAAGAACUGAACAUAGGAGUUUAUGAGCGUGUAUGUUUAACUCAAAUAAAAUCAUAGUAGAGAUCUUUGUAUCUCAAUACCAUACCUUUCUUUAUCAAUUCAUGGUUCUUAUUUCUAUAUGCCAUGAUUAUUUAACGUGGAUAAAGGUGUUUUUAAUAAAAUUUAUAUAUAUCACACAUACAUACACAUAUCCCUUUUCAGCAGCUGACCCUGUGACUAUGAAAACGCUAAAAUGACUGAUUUUCCAACAAAUGAAAAUCCUCUUUAAGACCAGAAAAGGAAAACCAGCUUCCCUGUUCUUUUUUAAUCCCCAAAUUAUUAAUUAACUUAGAAGGAUUUAAUCUUAAAGUAGUAAAAAAUAUCCUAGCUGUACUUGCAAAGGUAACUUGUACCUUCUUCGCAGCUAGGACAUCACUUCUGAUAUCUUGAUGAAACAGAGCUUUAGACAACUUCUGUUUCCAUUGUGACUAACUUUAAACUCAUCAACAAACACAUGCAAGGUCCUAGGAUGAACUGCUUAAGCACUAUAUAAUUAUCAAUAUGGAUGAAUAUCAGAACAAAGAAGUCUGGGGUUAAAUAUGGACCCUGGAACAAGAACUGACAACAGUGGAAAGGAAAUUAACUUCUUAUGUAAGAGGCAUAGUUUUCUAUGAUUUACACAUAAAAACUCUUCUUAAUGAAUUAUGUGAAUAUCCGUCUCAAAAACUAUACGCUCAUUUAAGUUCUCACUCUUAUCGCAGAAUAUCUUUUAGAAUAAACAUCCUAAAAUUAUAUGUUUUUUUUGGGGGGGGGGUUGUUGUCAUGGCUGCACCUCAUGGCCUAUGAAAGUUCUCAGGCCAGGGAUUGAAUCCCAGCCACAGCUGUGGCAACACUGGAUCCUUUAACCCACUGUGCUGGGCCAGGGAUUGAACCCACGCCUCUGCAUCGACCUGAGACACUACAGUCAGAUUUUUAACGCAUUGCCCCUUUAAAAACAUAAGAAUCCAAUUUAGAUUUUCAAAAUUAAAAAUAAGCCUUGUUUCAAAAAAGAAAUCACUGUUGUCCAACAUACAACAUGCAUGGCUGGCCACAGAGAGAUGCAAGAGUGUGAGGGGGGCACCUGACUUCUCCUAAAGGUGGAGGGCUCCCGCCCUCCUUCUGAAAUCUUCAAGAAGACAGUUAUGUUUUCUUCCUGCAAACUGUGUAAAGAGCUAGUGCUUCAGGGUUUGUUCUCAAGAGUGAGCCGGGGAAGCAGCGAGCGUGCAGGAGGAGGACAAAGGGCGUCUCUCCACAGAGUCCUAUGCUCAGAGGGAGAAUUAAUUAAUUAUGUUAUCACUAUAAACCCCUAACCCGGCCUGGUCCCAGCCCUCUUGACUCUAACUGGGGAGGUGCCUUCUGCAGUCCAGCCAAACUGCCAGCCCUUCUGGGGAGUGAAUUCACCGGGAACCCAUCCAGGAGCCUUCACUGCAAGACCAGCUCAGGGCUUCCCUUCAAAUGGGCCAAGCUCUGCCCUUGCCACCGCCGCUAAUGUAGGUAAACACUGCUAGCUUAACCAGCACAAAGGGAGCAUAACAAAAAUCACGCAACAAAAUCAAAUAGCCAGCAGUCACCGGGAGUCAGUAAAACUUAGACUGGAGUAGGGUAGAGAGCAAUGAAACAAAACCAUCAGGACAAAAGGAGACUUUGAGCAGGACAUAAAGUGUGGAGUGGGGUGGACGAGGGGUGAGGUUUAAAAAAGAAAAGACAGAAAGUUGAGAAAUUUCAGAGAAAUCAUGAGUUUUCUAUGCAAACCAUUACAGGGGCUUCUUUUCGGCCACAAUAGUAAAUAAACCCAGACAACUCAAUGCUAGGCUACUUGCUGCGGGGCCUGAAGUCUUUCCUCAUUUGAAUAGUAUUUUAGGAAUGUUUUGUCAAUGUGUCGGAUGAUUAUUCACUUCUACCGCAUUCUUCCCUUCACCACGAUGAUUAUGGUCGUAGUAACCAUUUAUUUUAUAGGCAGAACAUUCAAACAGUAAAUGAUGACCUUUUUUUAACGUGUUAAAAUUCAUAUAUUUACCCAAAAUUCUUUUAAAAAGGAAGGUUAACUUUAACAACUGUUGCUCAUAGCAACAGAGGAACAAAAGAUUUUUCACAUGCAUAAUCUACGCAUUUAAUUAAAAUUCACAAACUUGGAUCUCAAACGGAGUCAAAAGUAGAAAUGUAAGAAUACUGGAUUCCCAAACAGCAGCAGAUACACAGUAUUUUGUUCAGCUGUGACAAAGACAAAGGGGGGUGGGGUGGGGCAGCAACUUGUGACAGGGAUAAGGAAUGUAUUUAAGUUUAGAGACUCCUUUAUAACCACCGUCUUAGUGAAGCGCUUACAUUCAUUCUUUCAGGUAAGUUUCAUAACAUAAAUAAAUCAAACAAAAAUACACCAAUACUCCCUUUUCCUUUCAAUCACUUCACUUUUACCAAGGCCAGAGCCCCAAUCCAAAUCUAAGUAGCAUAAGGCAGACUCUAACACAGCAAUUCACAGGAAGAGAUGGUUUUUCCUCCAAGACUUCAGCUCAACUAUAAGAGAACAAGUAAAAAAGAAUUCCAAGCAAGUUCUGUAACUCGGGAGUUCUCUGAUGGCCUCAAGGGAUAAGGCUCCUGCGUUCUCACCGCUGUGGCUCUGGUUGCUGCUGGGUGGGAAGGUUCAAUCCCUGGCCCAGGAAUUUCCACAUACUGCCUAUGCGGCAAAAAAGAAAAAAGAGAGAGAGAGAGAAUCUGAAAUAAACGGCUUCAAUCAAUGAAAGAGAGAGAGUUCUAUUAAAGAAUGUGGAAGAACAGGGGCCUCAGCAUUAUUGCUUUGAAAAUCCUCCAUCCUUAAUAAUCUAUGCACCCAUAAAAAAAUAAAAUAAAAACUAAAAAAAAGAAAGAACAACAACAAAAAUAAUAAGCAGUCCACCUGUCCUCUCAUGGAGGUGGGGGCAUGGAAGGCAAAUUUGGGGAAGGGAUGGUCCCACAUAAGCCUGGAUUGGGAGAAGGCUGUGGUACAAGGUCAGAGUGUUUUUAGAACCAGAAGAUGAGGUCUGACAACCUAACAGCUCUCAGCCUCUGAAUGAACUGAAAACACCGAAAUACGGCAGAAGCGACAGAAUCAGAUCUGGCUUUAACUGAGCACCUAAUAUGCACAAGACAUUGUGCUGGGCGUCCUGUGAGGGGGCAUAAAAAAAUAAGAGUUGCAUGGUUUAACCAAAUGGAGCCUACAAACUAGUUUGAGAAAAUUAAAAACUCUGAAAAGAUAAUAGUUCAAUGUGAAAAGUCCAGACAAUAUACUUAGUUUUGAUGCAGAUGCUAAAAACAAGCACCAUAAGAUGAGGUACUGGAAGAUGACCUGUGGCUGUGCUGUUAAGGGAAGCAUCAAGAGUUGAAACACAGGCAAAGUCCUGAAGGGCGACUAUUACCUCCAGCCUCAAACCCCAGUCCAAGGACCCUUCUGAGUAGUGCCUGGAGGUUGCGCAAAGAGAAAAGCACAGCUCUGAAGUCAGACAGACCUGGGCAUGUCCUGCCACCACUGCCUAACAGCUCUGUGCCCUGAGACAAGUGUUCACAUGUUAAGCCUCAGUUUCCUACAAUGGGGGCACUAAUGGUUCCUGUCAAAGGUUUCAUUUAUUCAAUAAAUAUUUGCUAAGAGCUUGUAUAGAACUAGACACUGAAAUACAAGAGUGAACAAGACAGACACAGGACCUGCCCUCAUGGCGCCUUAAAUGACAUACAUGAAGGUUCCACAGAUGAUAUUUAUUUCCAUCAUCAUCUUCAUCAUCAUCUUUAGCACAGUGGUAGAAAGUAUAAGACAUGCUCCAGUAAGAACAAAGACAUCAUCUUAGCAGGAACAAGGAUUCAUCCCCACCCCCCGAAAAAAAAACCAAAACCAAAACACUGGCAUCCUUCAGGAUUCAGUCCUAGAACCUCUUCUUUUCCCUCUCGCCCAAGAAUCUCACCCCAUCUCACAAUUUAAAAAUACUAUCAGAGCUCCUACUGUGGCACAACAGGAUCAGCAGAGUCUCUGGAGCGCUGGGAUGCAGGUUCAAUCCCCAGCCCAGCACCGUGGAUUAAGGAUCCAGCAGAUUGCAAAUGUGGCUUGGAUCUCAUCCCUGGCCGGGAAGCAUGAAUGACUGGCUGACUGAAUGAAUUAAUAAAUAAAUAGAUAAAAUAAAAAUACUACUUAUGUAUACCAAAUUUAGUAUCUCCAGCUCUGGAGCUGUCUCCCAGACUCCAGACUCUAUAUCCAGCUGUCUGUCAGAUGUCUCCGCGUGUACAUCUUAACAGACUUCUCAGACCUCCAAAUCUGAGAAGUACUGAACUCUGGAGCACUGAUGCAGCUGAAUACCAACCAAGAGUAUUCAUUCUUUGGUCUUUUCCCAUCAGCAAGUCAGUAAAUCCUUCACUCCUCUCUUUUCCUUAUGUCUCACAUAUCUAAAGCAUGAAAAGUUUUUUUUUUACUUUUACCUAAAAACAUAUCCGGAUCCACUGACUCUCCAUCUCCAAAGCCAUCAUUCCAGUUCAAGAUUUGAUUCUCAUCUAGGUUAUACUACUACAAUAGCUGCUAUCAUUCCCUUUCCAUAAAGCAAUCACCUCUUAAAAAAUGGAUAACAACAGGGGAGUUUCCCUUGUGGCAUAGUGGAAACGAAUCCGACUAUGAACCAUGAGGUGGCAAGAGUUCGAUCCCUGGCCUCGCUCAGUAGGUUACGGAUCUGGCAUUGCCAUGAGCUGUGGUGUAGAUCACAUAUACACAUGCACACUUGUGUGCACACACACACAAGCAACCCAUUAUUCCUCUAUUCAACUUAAAACUCUCCAGUGGCUCCCAGAUGCCCCUAAAAUGUCGAUGGUCUACAAGGCAUAUAUGACCAGAUGCCCUUUUUAUCUCUCUGCCUCCUCUCAUAAGACCUU
This 5084-nucleotide long non-coding RNA is filed under the name Sus scrofa (pig). RNAcentral's name for it is "lncRNA (ENSSSCG00015018012.1)". Lineage: Eukaryota; Metazoa; Chordata; Mammalia; Artiodactyla; Suidae. The record is from RNAcentral.